UGGGGAAUUUUGGACAAUGGGCGCAAGCCUGAUCCAGCCAUGCCGCGUGCGGGAAGAAGGCCUUCGGGUUGUAAACCGCUUUUGUCAGGGAAGAAAAGGUUCUGGCUAAUACCUGGGACUCAUGACGGUACCUGAAGAAUAAGCACCGGCUAACUACGUGCCAGCAGCCGCGGUAAUACGUAGGGUGCAAGCGUUAAUCGGAAUUACUGGGCGUAAAGCGUGCGCAGGCGGUUAUGCAAGACAGAGGUGAAAUCCCCGGGCUCAACCUGGGAACUGCCUUUGUGACUGCAUAGCUAGAGUGCGGCAGAGGGGGAUGGAAUUCCGCGUGUAGCAGUGAAAUGCGUAGAUAUGCGGAGGAACACCGAUGGCGAAGGCAAUCCCCUGG
This 385-nucleotide ribosomal RNA is filed under the name uncultured bacterium. RNAcentral's name for it is "bacterial SSU rRNA". It matches the Rfam family "Bacterial small subunit ribosomal RNA", at positions 355 to 732 of the family's 1533-position model. The record is from RNAcentral.